Molecule: transfer RNA, 72 nt
Filed under: Bos taurus (domestic cattle)
Lineage: Eukaryota; Metazoa; Chordata; Mammalia; Artiodactyla; Bovidae
Also listed under: 2 other names
Rfam family: tRNA
About the family: Transfer RNA (tRNA) molecules are approximately 80 nucleotides in length. Their secondary structure includes four short double-helical elements and three loops (D, anti-codon, and T loops). Further hydrogen bonds mediate the characteristic L-shaped molecular structure. tRNAs have two regions of fundamental functional importance: the anti-codon, which is responsible for specific mRNA codon recognition, and the 3' end, to which the tRNAs corresponding amino acid is attached (by aminoacyl-tRNA synthetases). tRNAs cope with the degeneracy of the genetic code in two manners: having more than one tRNA (with a specific anti-codon) for a particular amino acid; and 'wobble' base-pairing, i.e. permitting non-standard base-pairing at the 3rd anti-codon position.
Source: Rfam by way of RNAcentral
UCCCUUGUGGCUUAGCUGUUAAAGAAUCUGCCUGCAAUGUGGGAGAUCCAGGUUCGAUUCCUGGGUUGGGAA